RNAcentral lists this ribosomal RNA (429 nucleotides) under Chloroflexota bacterium. Its description in RNAcentral is "Chloroflexi bacterium partial 16S ribosomal RNA". It matches the Rfam family "Bacterial small subunit ribosomal RNA", at positions 355 to 776 of the family's 1533-position model. Lineage: Bacteria; Bacillati; Chloroflexota. The record is from RNAcentral.
UAGGGAAUCUUCGGCAAUGGACGAAAGUCUGACCGAGCAACGCCGCGUGAGUGAAGAAGGUUUUCGGAUCGUAAAACUCUGUUGUUAGAGAAGAACAAGGACGUUAGUAACUGAACGUCCCCUGACGGUAUCUAACCAGAAAGCCACGGCUAACUACGUGCCAGCAGCCACGGUAAUACGUAGGUGGCAAGCGUUGUCCGGAUUUAUUGGGCGUAAAGCGAGCGCAGGCGGUUUCUUAAGUCUGAUGUGAAAGCCCCCGGCUCAACCGGGGAGGGUCAUUGGAAACUGGGGGACUUGAGUGCAGAAGAGGAGAGUGGAAUUCCAUGUGUAGCGGUGAAAUGCGUAGAUAUAUGGAGGAACACCAGUGGCGAAGGCGGCUCUCUGGUCUGUAACUGACGCUGAGGCUCGAAAGCGUGGGGAGCAAACAGG